RNAcentral lists this ribosomal RNA (186 nucleotides) under uncultured bacterium. RNAcentral's name for it is "partial 16S ribosomal RNA". It matches the Rfam family "Bacterial small subunit ribosomal RNA", at positions 707 to 895 of the family's 1533-position model. The record is from RNAcentral.
UACCAGUGGCGAANGCGACUUUCUGGACUGUAACUGACACUGAGGCACGAAAGCGUGGGGAGCAAACAGGAUUAGAUACCCUGGUUAGUCCACGCCGUAACGAUGAGUACUAGGUGUCGGGGGAAAACCCCCGGUGCCGAANUUAACACAUUAAGUACUCCCCCUGGGGGGUACNCUCGCAAGAGU